This is an RNA transcript of Oncorhynchus gorbuscha (pink salmon), 3522 nucleotides long. It is a transcript of the gene named tubulin-specific chaperone cofactor E-like protein, with no coding region annotated. Lineage: Eukaryota; Metazoa; Chordata; Actinopteri; Salmoniformes; Salmonidae. The transcript is spliced from 9 exons. The record is from RefSeq and is a predicted model, not a curated record.
CGAAGGAGGUGGGUCUUUGAGUGUCACCUAAUAUUUCCACUAUAGUAGAUAUUACAGCCAUAGCUGUAAACUACAUCGUAAAAUAACUUCUUGGUCUUAAUAUAAAGUUAGCAGUGUGGUUAAGGUUACGGUUAGGCUUAAAAUCGUAUUUUAAGAAGAGAAAUUGUAUAAAUAGGCGGGGUUUAUGACUUUGUGGCUGUGUUGUAACUAGUGACGACCCUUACCUAACCGAACGAAAAUAACAAACAUUCGAAGUGAACGACAGAGAACGCCGCAGUGUUCCAGGCCUGUGCUGCGUGAGCCACUGGCACUGCCUCCUCAUCCACCAGGCCUGGCCGGUGCCAGAGAGGGAGAGAGAGACAGCAACCUCCUCACAAUACUACAGCCCAGAGGUGUCUGUCUGUGGUCCACACCAACUUUACCCCUAGAGGAGUCAUAUUUUUGGGGCCAUGGAGUCCUCUGAUGAAGAGGAGGGGCGCACCUUUGUCCAGGUGGUCAGUGAGAAGUACAACCCAGAGAAUUUCCCAUACUGUCGUGGGAACGGCAUGGGUGUCGUGGUAGUGUCUCGUCCACAGGGGUCGCCCAUCAAAGAUCGUCUGAACCUGCCCAGUGUGCUGGUCCUGGAUGGCUGUGGCAUCAGUAAAGCUGGGGACAAGGCUGAGGUGGCCACCUUUUGUGCCCAUGUGGUGGAGCUGGACCUGUCCCACAACCAGCUGCAAGACUGGGGGGAGAUCUGCACGAUUGUGUCUAACAUCCCCAAUCUGGACUUCCUUAACCUGAGUAUGAACCCUCUGAGUGGGAUUGAACUGGAGCCAGGCCUGGCUGAGGUGUUCUCCCGAGUCCGCCGCCUGGUCCUCAUCAACACGCGUGUCACCUGGGACACGGUACACACACUCACACGCCAGACCCCUGAACUGGAGGAGCUCUUCCUUUGUCUGAAUGAUUAUGACCAGGUUGCUGAGUCCCCGGUCCCCUGCCCCUCCCUACGCCUGCUCCAGAUCACAGACAACCAGCUACAGGAGUGGAGUGAGGUCCGUAAGAUUGGGCCGAUGUACCCGUGCCUGGACACCCUGGUGUUGUCCAACAACAGACUCAGCUCUGUGGAGGAGGACACACCUCAGGACACACUGCAGCGCCUGUUUCCUAACCUGCGCAGCAUCAACCUCAACAACUCAGGACUUAACCGAUGGGAGGACAUAGAGAGGCUGAAUUUCUUCCCUAAACUGGAGGAGGUGAGGUUGAUGGGGAUUCCCUUACUGCAGCCUUACACCAACAAAGAGAGACGCAGCCUCACCGUGGCACAGUUGCCAUCUGUGACUGUGUUGAAUGGGAGUGUGGUGACGGAAGGAGAGAGGGAAGACGCUGAGAGGUUCUUCAUCAGACAUUACCUGAACUGUUCUGAAGAGACGCUGCCUCAGAGGUACCACGUCCUGGUGUCCAAGUACGGGCAGCUUGCCCCGUUGGCAGAGGUGGACCUGCGUCCGCCCCUGCACGGCCACCCUGGAGGUGCGCUGGGGCGAGCGGACGGAGGCGCUGAGCCUGCGGCUGGAGCAGACCGUUGGGGAGCUCAAGAAGGAGCUCAGGGCGCUGGUGGGGCUGCCAGCCAACGGCAUGCGACUGUACUACAUCGCCCGCGAGCUGGGCUCCGCGCUGGGACCUGAAGAGAUGAAGUACAGCAGCCGGGCACUCCACUCGUACAUGAUCCAAGACGGGGAUGAGAUCCUGGUGGUGCCCAAAACUAAGAGCCGCACCAUCUCAUCCACCUCCUCGGACUCCUAAGAAGUGGUGUGUGUGUGGUGGAGGACUCGGGGCUUAAUUACAGACUGACCAGCUUCUGGCCACCAACUUUCUAUGCAGUCUCUUUUUUUGUUUUAUUCUGUUUCCUAAAUUACGUUGAUUGUAAAGAUGUUUAUUAGCAAAGCCUCUUACUGUACACACACACGACUCACGCAUGUAUGCUACAUGCACACUAUCACACUGAGGGCUCAAUUUAUGGCUAGUUGCACUACGAUUUGCCAUUUGUUUGGUCUGUCAAAAGAGAGCACAGAAGUCUUUUAUCAGAAAUAUUUAUGGUUUUUAAGUAAUGUUAACCCAAUAGCAUAGUCCCCCUCUCUCCCACUCAGUCUUGAACCACAUGCUUCAGAUGUCCUGAGGUAACCUCUGAGUCAGAAUUAGAGGGUGGUGCACUGAGAGACGCUCCAUUGAGCUUUGAGGAUGAUAGAGCUUGUGACACACAGAGACCACAUGGAACAUCACUGACCUCAACUCACACAGGUGACCUGGCGGAAAGAGGAGGAGGGGAGGUGCACUGCACUCAGGUUGCUUCAGGUCGUCUUGCUGUCUGUUUCCUCAUGAAUGGAGCAGCUCUCUACCCCCUUGCUGAGGGGAGUGGGGAUGGGAUGUGAGGGGGAGUGGGUGUUGGAAGGAGAACCCCAGCCCAACCUCACUGGGUAACCACACACCGGCCGCUGUGUCACGGUCACUUCCUCUGUGCUUGGAUUUCAAUUGGUUCACCCAACAGGCUGUGGCCUUCCUCACCUCUCUCUAUCGCUCCCUCUCUCGUCCUCUCUCCCCGUCUCACACCUCCACUGGAACCAGUGUCCAUUGUUUUAGUCAACCCUGGGUCAAUGAUACACCCCCAGAAUUUGUGCUCUCCCAUUUGUGCAUGUUGUCCAAUAGGUGUCUUCAGAUUCAGAGACUUUCUCCAAUUGGCGGAUAGAUGUGAGAAAUGACCAAUGGGAAAUCACAUCUUGUUGUUCCCCAGUCCUAUGGAUAAUUUCACUCAGCGUUUGUUUGCAUCAGUUUGCAUCUACUCUUAUAGAUGGGAGAAAUCAGUAAACCAAGGUGAACCACAUACUGGGUUUAUUUACCAAUUACUCUACCAAUUACAUUUCCCUUUUUAAUCUAAAUUCCUGUUUUUUACAUGACAUAUUAUGUGGAAAAACGUAAGAAAAGUACGUUUGCAAAAGCUGAAUGAACGUGACUAUCUGUCACAGCUAGGCUUUGUUUAAAUAACUGGAUGACUUUUGUCCUUUGGGAAUUAUUUUAGGUGAAUCUCAGGUGCUUCUUGAUCCUUUAAUAUGUUGUGUUUGCAUGAUUGGUAAUGGUAAAGUGUGUAAUAUAGGGUAUGUGGGCUGGGACCAUGGAUUUUUUAAAAGUGGGCCAUUUAAUAUUUGGGAUUGCAUGGACUUUUAACUAAUUAGAGGAACCUACACUAAAAGUGUAUACUAUAGUACAUAUGUGUUUAUCUGAUGUUACAUGAAGUUAUUGGAGGAUGAUCAGAUCGAUAACUAUUGUUUAGUGAUUAAGAUUUUUUCUGAAAGCUUCAAUGCCUCCAGUACAUUUUGUUAUGUUAUUUUGUCUUUGGCUAAAAUCAAAUUGAAUGCACACGUAGAAUUUAUGUACCAAUGCUUUCCUGCAGACUGUUAAAUCUAACUAUUUGUAGCACUGUAAUUUACUUCUGUCUACAACCUUUAACCAUUGCCUUGAUAUCUGUAAAUAAAUGUUUUAGAUACUUCUGGU